Pangasius djambal is the source of this 72-nucleotide non-coding RNA. The record is from the annotation of a GenBank genome assembly. NCBI's taxonomy places the organism in Eukaryota, Metazoa, Chordata, Actinopteri, Siluriformes, Pangasiidae.
UCCCUGGAGGACUAGUGGUUAGGCCUUGGCCCUGCCAUCGCCGUGGCCCAGGUUCGAUUCCAGGCCAGAGAA